AAGACCUUGCACUUUUGGAGCGGCCGAUGUCUGAUUAGCUAGUUGGUGGGGUAAUGGCCUACCAAAGCUUCGAUCAGUAGCUGGUCUGAGAGGACGGCCAGCCACACUGGGACUGAGACACGGCCCAGACUCCUACGGGAGGCAGCAGUGGGGAAUUUUGGACAAUGGGCGCAAGCCUGAUCCAGCCAUGCCGCGUGAGUGAAGAAGGCCUUCGGGUUGUAAAGCUCUUUCAGCCGGGAAGAAAAGGUUGCGACUAAUAAUCGCAACCCAUGACGGUACCGAAAGAAGAAGCACCGGCUAACUACGUGCCAGCAGCCGCGGUAAUACGUAGGGUGCGAGCGUUAAUCGGAAUUACUGGGCGUAAAGGGUGCGCAGGCGGUUUUGUAAGUCAGAUGUGAAAUCCCCGGGCUUAACCUGGGAACU
This 423-nucleotide ribosomal RNA is filed under the name uncultured bacterium. Its description in RNAcentral is "bacterial SSU rRNA". It matches the Rfam family "Bacterial small subunit ribosomal RNA", at positions 207 to 622 of the family's 1533-position model. The record is from RNAcentral.